Molecule: non-coding RNA, 65 nt
Filed under: Candidatus Tectimicrobiota
Lineage: Bacteria; Pseudomonadati
Description: Candidatus Tectomicrobia Fluoride sequence
Rfam family: Fluoride riboswitch aptamer (crcB RNA motif)
Source: RNAcentral
CUGUUGAACGGGGAUGGAGUCCCCCUCACAAUCGCCUGUUUUGGGCUGAUGACUCCUGUCGCGAG